UUUUUUUUUUUUUUAUUAGCUUCUAAGGCAGGUUAACAGGUUCCUCCAUCUCUGCCGAGACGGUGAAACUGCCGGUUCCCCAGCCGGCCCUGUCACAGCGAGGCAGGGGCAGCCUUUCGGAGACUGCCUGAGCCGCCAAGACCUAAGAUCUGCUUCUUGAGCUUCGAUCUGUCACGAGCCAGGCAUCACAGAAGGAAAUUAAUUUUUUCAAAACAAAUUUCCUCAAACCACAUAAAAGAAAUUCUGUUUUUGUUUUUCUCACGAGCAGAGCAUAGAGGGAAGAAGGGAGGUUUGGGGUCACUCCCCAGGGGGAUUCUGGAUGCGUUUGCCGGUCUGCAAAACUCCUGGAAGGGCUGUGCGAGGACCCGCACAGUGAGGACAGCAAGGCUUGGCCACGGUCCAGGCAUGUGGCCACCCAGGGCCCGUGCGCUGCUGUCACCGUCCUGCUGGGACACACCUCUUCGUUUCUGCUUCUAGGAGGCUUCACUCAGCUCUAGUUUCAAGGCCAUUCUGGGACCUCCUGACAUCCCUGCGAUGUCAGCCCCACGCUCCCUCUGGAUUAUCCUCAGACCUGCAUCACCUCCACCCACGGGCCUUGCCUGGACUUCCUGCCCCGUCCCUGCCCCUGAAGCCACUGCUGAGGCCAGGCAGGACACCCAGCGCCCUGGACAUCUCAACCCCUUGCUCUGGGGUUCCUGAGCCCAGGGAGGUGGGACCUCUCCCUGCGGAAGCCUGGGUUCCCCCUUUGAAAAUCAGGGGCUCGAAUCCCCGUGUGACUGCUCGACAGCAGGAGAUGACAUGUGUGCAAUGUUUCAUAAACCGGGAGAGGGCUGAGCGGGCGAGGGCUGUGUCAGCCCCCUCCCACCCCAACUGCUCGAGGGAGGACGCUCCUCUUGGUCACCGGGAAGAUGGGUGGGCAGCAGGGACGGUGGGCUCCAGGGAGCCUGUGGAUGGGACCUGGUCCCAAGGCUGCAGCCUGAACCUGGGGUGUGUGCGAAGGAGACAGGAAAGAAGGACCAGACCUGGCCAGGUCAAGCUCUCAUCGCUCCCCUAAGUGACUCUCAGCCUCUGUUCUUGCCCUUCCGGCCAGCUCUUCCCCCAAAAGCCCUUUAAGCAAAUCCACUGUGUGUAGGGACCACCCAGCCCCUUCCCUGGGGCACAUCUGAGAAGGCGGGAAACUGCCAGCCCCGGGUCAUUCCUCAGAGGCAGCGUGGAGCAGUGGGGCCAGUGCAGGCUCUGGGGUUGCAGGGAAACCCUGCUCCCAUCUCCUGGGGUUCCAGCACAGCCGUGGGGCUGAGGGCUCAGCAGGCAGACUGCAGGCACCAGCCAGGGGACCCAGGGACCCCCGGUCUCAGAUAAUCACAGCAGGCCAUUGCAGGGUCACUGGGAGUUAAGCCGGGUACCUGGCACACAGUAGCACCUAAUAAAGAUGAGACACUUUCUAUUGCUAGUAUUCACGCGGCUGGGCUGGCAACCCCGUCAGUAAGAGGGCGGUUAAAGGCGCACCUGCCCCGGAGUUUAUUAAGAGGAUGAAAUGAGACGAUGCUCGUAAAGUGCUCAGCGUGGUAUCUGACACUCAGCAAGGGCUCGACACAGGAGAGCUCUAAUGAUUCAGCUUGGAGGGGAAGUCCUCGGCCUCUGGCUUAAGUUUUCCAGGAAGCCAGGCUGUUGGGAGGAGGGGCCAGCCUCCGCUUGAGCAGGGAGAUGCGCUCUGGCCAGUGACUAAGGCUCGGGCGGCAGGAUGCAGCGGCUCGGGCAGGGCGGGGUUGGGCUGAGGCCGAGGCUGGCCCGCGUUCAGGGUGAUGCAUUUUUACCGUAAGGCCCUGGGUGACUCCAGAGCCAGCGCUGGCCUCCCGGUCCCUGGGGCCUGACACUCACCAGCCAGCAAUGAGAGAUGCUUCGUAAAAGAGGCAGAGACUCUGGAGCCCUCAAAAGCACACACAGUGAGAAAGACGGGGACAGGGCCUGGGAGGAAAGGACAGAUUCACAGGCACGUGGCAUUUAAUAAAUGCCACCCUCUGUUUGUUUAACCAUCUGAGGUGCUAUGAUAGCAGGGCAGGUCUGGGUGCCAGGCUGGGUUCUGGGACCGGAGCCAAAGUCAAUUAAGACCAGGGAUGGAGGGGAACCCAAAAAAGGGUGAGGAGAAGAGAAACACACACACACACACACACACACACACACACACACACACACACACACACUCNUCUCCCCCUCCCUCUCUCUCUCUCCCUCUCUCCCUCUCUCUCUCUCUCUCUCUCUCUCUCUCCAUGCAGAAAACAGAGGUUUCGGCCACAGGGGCUCUCCUUUCAACAGGAGAGCCCAGUGACCAGGCACUCCUGUGCUGGGUUCUUUACAAACAUUGUCUCAGGUUGUCAAGAGCCAGGACAAUAGACAGAGAUCAGGUUGUGGGCUUCAGCGACCAAAUACAAGUGUCCAAAUGCCGGCAGGGCCCCCUACUUGCUGAGUAAGGUCAGGCCAAUUAAUUAACAGCUCUGUGAUCCACUUUGCUCAUCUGUAAAAUGGGAAUGAUAAUAUCCACACCCCCUUCCAAAGGGGACCAAAGUAAGCACAGGCUCUUUGCUAGGGUUUAUAAAAUACAAGGGAAGAGUCACCUUGGGACUUAGAAAACCUCAUUCUACUGUGAUCUUCCUAUCUUCUGUAUCCCAUCACCACACUCGGCCUCUAGCAAGCAGUCAAUAUACACAUGAUGGUGUCCAGAGAGCCAGAAACCUGCCCCCGGCAGCAAAGAUACUCAGAGAGCAGGCGGGGUGAGGCUGCACCUGACCCCAGCGUUCUCCCCAAUGUCAAUUAGGCAGCGACUACUGUGUCCACUUUAGAGGUAAGGAAACCGAGGCCAUAGAUCUGCAGGCUCACGGUGUGCCUGGCCUUGGGCUGAGCAGGAAAGAAGAAAACAGCAGAAAGAGCAGUUAUUACAGACAGACUAUAGGGUUCCAGGGCAAAAGAACUGGUAAAGGGCGGGCUUAUUCACAGUUGUAUUUUAGCCCAUAUUGUCUCAACCAGCCUUUGGGGAAUAGCAAUAAUUUCUUCUGCUUCGAUCAACUUCAUUUACCAUCUCUAGCCCAAUUCUUUUCUAAUAGGGAAUAAAAGUGCAGCCACUAAAAGUCAGACAUUCUUUUAAACACAUCCAACCCCGCUGUGUGGCUGUGGGUUAGCUAGCUACCCUCUCUGAGCCUCUCAUGUGCAAACUGAGCAAAAUACUCGCCUCCCUCCUGUUAUGGGGUGAGAAAAGACCACCAUGUGACCAGCCUUCUAGACGGGGCACCCCUUGUCAUAAACGAAAGGCACAUUGUGAAAAAGUGACCUUGGGUUUAACUUUGCCACGCCACUGUGAAAAUGAAAAGGGUAAACUUUAAUAAAUACUGACUAUAUAAAUGAAUCCAGUCGUGACCCGAGAGCUUUCUGCUUGGCGAAAACUGGAGAAAAAGGAAUUUGAGAAUGAGCUCAAAAGGUCGGAGAGAGAGCGUCAUGGGUCAAGUGGAGGCUGACAGGUGCUGGGGGAAGACUUGCUUUUCUGAAAUUCUAGGGAUUCCAGCAACAAGGGACCAGCCACAGGCACUUCCAGGUAAAAGAAAGGCUCUUGCAACACUGUAAAUCACCUAUGCUUCAAUAAAAUUUAAAAAAAAGAAGAAAGUCACUGUUCCCAAAUUCUGACCCAUGUGCACUGGCUCUGGGGAGAGACUCAGUUUUCUUAUCUGUUCAAUGGGGAUGAUGUUAUUUUCUGCCGUAUUCACACAAAGCCCUUAAGACAGUCUAACACCCAGUAAGUGUGCAAUAAGUGUGAGCUACUCCUUUUUAUUCCUGGGUGAUAUUAUUGCCACUAUCCCUCCGUGGUCCCUCUUCUUUCUUCUUCUUGGGAAUCAGCACUUUCUCGGAGACAAACGACAGGGACCGAAGUGGUGCUAUUCUUUAUUGCUUUGGAAAAAUAAAAUAAAGAUCACAACCAUUUCCUUUCUAUUCUGAGUGCCCAGAUGACCUGGAAACACCCGGAGACUUAAAGAGACUUUCUUAGCCCUGAGUUCAUCUUCCUGCAAAGCCUUAAACUUUUGCUCCUUCCUUUCACUAGACUACAGGCUCCCCAGGGACGGAGAGCAUAUCUGCUCUGCUUGCCACGAGACGCCCAGCACUUGGGACAGUGGCUAAUUUACAUUAGGUACUCGGGAGAAUUAACGGGGUAACUGGCGUAUAAUCAUCGCUCUACAAGUUUGGGUGCAUCCCUGUGAGCAGAGGAGCCAACGAUCAUAAGUUCUCCCCACGCACUUCUCUUGGGACAGCUCGCCUGUACCCAGACAGACCAGCGGCAACUCGGCCUAGAGGGGUCGGCCUGCGUCUGUACCAGCCUCCGGGUCAGCCCUGGCGCCGUGCGAUACAGAGCUGCACUGGGCUCACCUCCAAAACACCUUAAUACACAUCCACAGGUAUGACUCUCUCUUCCUCCUUCCCAACCAACUGUGAGGUUGGCAGCUUUUGUCUUCUAGUUCAGAGAAACAAAACAAGGUUCAGAAAUCUCAGCGUUCGCUCCCUGGACCAGAGAGCUGACAAGGGGCAGCAAGAGUCCUUGAAGCCAGCCUGGAUCCCAGGCCCCUGGCGUCCACAUCCCGAGCUCAACCACAUGCGAAAUAAAUGAGGACAAGUUGAGGGAGGAAUAAACGCAAACUAUGGUGAGAGCUUCCCAAAGAAUCCAGCCCCCUCUGUACCUGGACGGCAGCGAACACAGCCGAGCGUGGGUCUAACGGUGAUGCUCCCUGCCAACUCGAGUGCACUGAGGAAGGGGGUCCUUUCAGGCAUGCGAUGGAUGAGCGCUACCCAUCUUCCCAGGGGGUCGGGGGGUGGUCAGGCGGGGCCGUGAGGAUGCAGGCUGCCCUCGGGACCGGCGUGUGGUGUGUGCCUGUCACAGGGACAGGCAGUCAGCCUCCUGGUCACCAGGGAAACCACCACAAACCACCUCUCUCUCAUCAGACAGGCAAAACCGUGAAAAUCUCACGUACCGAGAGCGGCGGACACAGUAGGGAACCCAGGGACCGGGUGCCUAUGGGGCGGGAGUGUGUGUAAACCCAGCCAGCGUGGCUGUGCUUGAACGCAACGUGGGACCAUGUGCGAAACGGAGAAUGCUGAUCAGCUUCUAGGCGGCGGCUGCAGCGGCGGCAGCAAUGUCACCUUUGGGUAUAACCCCUAGGUGUGCUCACGGGUGCCCAAGGAACAUAGGAGGGGCCUGGCAGCCCCGUUUGUGAAACACCGCGGAGAAAAGAAGAAAGAGCAGAGGCAUCAAGCACAGGCUCUCUGGACAGCAGAGGGAUAACCAAGGAUACCGGGGCUUGGGGAACACAACCCUUCAUUGUUCGCGCGCUUCCGACCCGACUCCACCCGACCAGACCCGACUCCCAUCGCACGCUCCCUCCCUCUCCCUGUUCAUUUUCCUUCUUUUUCCCUCUUCUCAGCCUACAGCCCAGCCCCCCAGGGGAAAGUGGAAUUCCCGGAUGGAAACAGAGCGCAGACUCCCCGCAAGCUUUUCAACGUCCUUUGAGCAAGAGAGGGUCCCCUCAGCACGGGGCCUGGACCUCAGCCGUGCGCCCAGGGAGGGCAGAAGCCAACUGCCCUCCACUUAACCCAAUUUGCAGGGCCCAGAAGACGGCUAAUGAGCCUGCUCCCUGAAGUCAUCGAUACCACUUUCCGAAUCGAGUUAGCAAAUUGGUCUUAAAACCGCUUCAAAGGGGCCGGGCUGACGGUUUCCAGUGAGGCAUCCGGCCGGCCAUAUGGCCACGACUCCGGGGCAUGAGCAGCACAGGGGACAAGCUGCCUGGCUUCAUCUCCGGUUGGGGACCGCCCCGCCUCUGGAAGCCUGAUCCAGCAGAAGGGAACUCGGGUCCCCAUGAAAACGACAGCACAGCUGUGGCAGAGACAAAUCCAGGAGGACCCGUGCAGACCCGCCCAGCCCCCGGGAAAUGACAGCUCCCGCCUCAGCCCUGUCUUCUGAUAAGCUGAACCUGGAAUGACAGGAAUUAUGUGAUAACCAGGCUUUAGGUGUGGCUUCUGGGUGGGAAGCCAAAGGGGAAAGAAAAAAUCCCAUACCCAGAAGGUUUCCCCAAGUAAGCCACCUUGGGGUUGGUAAAGCAGACUCUGGCAUCUGACAGAGAACCGGACAACAGCCCUUGGAAGGUCACCUGCACACGAGAACAAUGGUGAGGAGUUCCCGUCAGGGCUCAGUGAUAAUGAACCUGACAAGUAUCCAUGAGGAUGCGGGUUUGAUCCUGGCCUCGCUCAGUGGAUUAAGGAUCCGGCGUUGUCGUGAGCAGUGGUGUAGGUCACAGAUGCGGCUCAGAUCCCUCAUUGCUGUGUCUGUGGUAUAGGCCAACAGGUGCAACUCCAAUUUGACCCUUAGCCUGAACUUCCACGUGCCGCAGGUAUAGCCCUAAAAGACCAAAAAAGAAAAAGAAAAGAACAGAACAGUGGUGAGCAGUUUGUAUAAUACCUUUUGAGGUCAGUGCUCUCCUUGCCCCCAUUUCGCAGAUGAAGAAACUGAGGUUAUGAAAGCGGAAUGGGGUCAUGCGGUUGGCACGUGGCUAAAGCAGAAAUCAAACUGGAGCCUCUUCAAACACCUCCCCCCCGCCGCCCCGGCGCCGCUCAGGCUUUAUCGUGACAUCGCUGUGACUUACAUCCCCUUCUCCACAAUUCAACACAAAAAUGGCCAAAGGAACCCGGCAUCAGAGCCAGAUAUGUUUUCCUUGAGAUGCUUUUCAUUACGGACCCUAAAUACAGCACCUACUUUUUCUUGAAAGCCCAUGUGAAGCACUGGACCGCUUAUCUUCGACCACACAAAAGUCUUGAAGGUCGUGGGAUUCAUCUUUCUCUCUUAUGGAUGAGAGGGAAGUGGCUCAGAGAUGCUGAGUAAUAUGCUCAAGGUCACACAGCCAGGAAAGAGACGAACGCUCAUGCUAGGCAUCUGACAUGCAACCCACCUCAAACACUAAACCCAGCAUCCUUUUCCUGAAACCCAGCACCUGUCUGUCGACCUUUCUGUCUCUGGGCUUCGCGGAAGAGCCUAGGUCAGCCAGCACAUGGGGAGACACGACAGAGCUCUAGACAAAGUGACUCGGCCACCCCCCUCCAAGGGAAUAUUAGAAACCAUUCUGGAUCGUCGUGCUGGGACUAGGGGGCGGGGCAGACAAUGCUGCUGGCAUCUAGUGGGUAGAGACCAGAGCGCUAAUGAAUAACCUACAACAUGCAGGCCGGCCCCACAAGGAACUCUCUGGCCUAGAACGUCCAUAAUGCUGAGGCUGAGAAACCUGCUCUACAUCCUACGUAUCUUUUCAGCUUCUUUUUCCUCUUGAUUUCAUACAGGGAGAGCUUCUCUGUAACCCAGUACAAUAAAAGAGUGCUUAUUCAUUUGCAGUAAAACUUCACAUGGGGAGUUCCCGUCGUAGAACCCAACUAGGAUCCAUGAUGCAGGUUCGAUCCCUGGACUCACUCAGUGGAUUAAGGAUUCGGCAUUGUUGUGAGCUGUGGUGCAGGUUGCAGAUGUGGCUCGGAUCUGGCGUUGCUGUGGCCGUGGUGUAGGCCCGGCAGCUGCUGCUCCGAUUUGACCCCUAACCUGGGAACUUCCAUAUGCUGCAGGUGUGGCUCUAAAAAGACAAAAAACAAAAACAAACCAAAAAACCUCACACAGAUUAUCCCUGUGCCUAACGUACCUUCCAAAGCCUCACAAUGAACGGGCCAGAAACGAGACCUGGGCUGAGAUCGAAGGCUCGAAGUGACGGUUCUAGGGUUGCCUAGAAGUCUGCUCUCUCCUCACUGAGCACCUGCUGGGUGUCAGACCCCACGCUGGGUCUGGGGGUGGUGCCAACAGGCAGGAGCUGUGAAACGUGGGGGCUCAAGUGCCAGCUCCCCAAGGGGACGUCAUGCCAUCUCCCGGAGCCACUGGAUAGGAUGGGAAGGCCGUGACACUGUCUUUUGAUUUUGAUUUUGAUUUUGAUUUUAUGAAAAGAAUUUUAAUUCGUCCUCAUUUCUUAAAAUGCCAGCAGGUUGACAGCAUCUGCAAAUGCCUUUAUUCCGGGGACACUUCCAGACCCUCAGGUCCUCAGUCCAAGGUCCUUUCGGAACCUCAAGAGAGAGGCUCCAGGUGGGAUAAGAAUCGCACUGGGAAGACAGGGGGCUGAGCUGGCAGAGGGGCCCAGGCCAGGCCCAGCUCCCUCCU
Molecule: long non-coding RNA, 8209 nt
Filed under: Sus scrofa (pig)
Lineage: Eukaryota; Metazoa; Chordata; Mammalia; Artiodactyla; Suidae
Description: lncRNA (ENSSSCG00060015151.1)
Source: RNAcentral